Molecule: ribosomal RNA, 486 nt
Filed under: Listeria monocytogenes
Lineage: Bacteria; Bacillati; Bacillota; Bacilli; Caryophanales; Listeriaceae
Description: bacterial SSU rRNA
Rfam family: Bacterial small subunit ribosomal RNA
Source: RNAcentral
GUCAGCUCGUGUCGUGAGAUGUUGGGUUAAGUCCCGCAACGAGCGCAACCCUUGAUUUUAGUUGCCAGCAUUUAGUUGGGCACUCUAAAGUGACUGCCGGUGCAAGCCGGAGGAAGGUGGGGAUGACGUCAAAUCAUCAUGCCCCUUAUGACCUGGGCUACACACGUGCUACAAUGGAUAGUACAAAGGGUCGCGAAGCCGCGAGGUGGAGCUAAUCCCAUAAAACUAUUCUCAGUUCGGAUUGUAGGCUGCAACUCGCCUACAUGAAGCCGGAAUCGCUAGUAAUCGUGGAUCAGCAUGCCACGGUGAAUACGUUCCCGGGCCUUGUACACACCGCCCGUCACACCACGAGAGUUUGUAACACCCGAAGUCGGUAGGGUAACCUUUAUGGAGCCAGCCGCCGAAGGUGGGACAGAUAAUUGGGGUGAAGUCGUAACAAGGUAGCCGUAUCGGAAGGUGCGGCUGGAUCACCUCCUUUCUAAGGAA